Molecule: ribosomal RNA, 384 nt
Filed under: uncultured thermophilic aerobic biofilm eubacterium SCBP-D1
Lineage: Bacteria
Description: bacterial SSU rRNA
Rfam family: Bacterial small subunit ribosomal RNA
Source: RNAcentral
AACGCANCGAAAGCUGUGCUAAUACCGCAUACGAUCUGAGGAUGAAAGCGGGGGACCUUCGGGCCUCGCGCGGUCGGAGCGGCCGAUGUCGGAUUAGCUAGUUGGUGGGGUAAAGCCCUACCAAGGCGACGAUCCGUAGCUGGUCUGAGAGGACGACCAGCCACACUGGGACUGAGACACGGCCCAGACUCCUACAGGAGGCAGCAGUGGGGAAUUUUGGACAAUGGGCGCAAGCCUGAUCCAGCAAUGCCNCGUGCGGGAAGAAGGCCUUCGGGUUGUAAACCGCUUUUGGCAGGAACGAAAAGCUCUGGGCUAAUACCCUGGGGUGAUGACGGUACCUGCAGAAUAAGCACCGGCUAACUACGUGCCAGCAGCCGCGGUAAU